Molecule: ribosomal RNA, 503 nt
Filed under: uncultured bacterium
Lineage: Bacteria
Description: bacterial SSU rRNA
Rfam family: Bacterial small subunit ribosomal RNA
Source: RNAcentral
UAGUCCACGCCGUAAACGAUGUAUGCUAGAUGUCUGGACUUCGGUCUGGGUGUCGGAGCUAACGUAUUAAGCAUACCGCCUGGGGAGUACGGUCGCAAGAUUAAAACUCAAAGGAAUUGACGGGGACCCGCACAAGCGGCGGAGCAUGUGGUUUAAUUCGAAGCAACGCGCAGAACCUUACCAACCCUUGACAUACCUGUCGCGGGUAAAGAGAUUUACCUUUCAGCUCGGCUGGACAGGAUACAGGUGCUGCAUGGCUGUCGUCAGCUCGUGUCGUGAGAUGUUGGGUUAGGUCCCGCAACGAGCGCAACCCUUGUCUUUAGUUGCCAUCAUUUAGUUGGGCACUCUAGAGAAACUGCCGGUGACAAACCGGAGGAAGGUAAGGAUGACGUCAAGUCAGCAUGCCCCUUACGCUCUGGGCUACACACGUGCUACAAUGGUCGUGACAAGAGUUGCUAGUCUGCGAAGGCAAGCCAAUCUCAUAAACGCGGCCUUAGUUCGGA